AAUAAUACCCUGGUAGUCCGCACGGUAAACGAUGGAUGCCCGCUGUGUGCCCCUGGGGUACGUGGCCAAGCGAAAGCGUUAAGCAUCCCACCUGGGGAGUACGCCGGCAACGGUGAAACUCAAAGGAAUUGACGGGGGCCCGCACAAGCGGAGGAACAUGUGGUUUAAUUCGAUGAUACGCGAGGAACCUUACCCGGGCUUGAACUGCAGAGGAAGGUCACAGAGAUGUGUCCGCCCUUCGGGGUCUCUGCGGAGGUGCUGCAUGGUUGUCGUCAGCUCGUGCCGUGAGGUGUCGGCUUAAGUGCCAUAACGAGCGCAACCCCUCUCCUUGGUUGCCAUCGGGUGAUGCCGGGGCACUCCAGGGACACUGCCGCCGUAAGGUGCGAGGAAGGUGGGGAUGACGUCAAAUCAGCACGGCCCUUACGUCCGGGGCUACACACGUGUUACAAUGGGGAGUACAGAAAGUCGGCGGCGCGCAAGCGUCGUCCAAUCCUAAAACCUCCCUCAGUUCGGACUGGGGUCUGCAACCCGACCCACGAAGCUGGAUUCGCU
RNAcentral lists this ribosomal RNA (552 nucleotides) under uncultured bacterium. RNAcentral describes it as "bacterial SSU rRNA". It matches the Rfam family "Bacterial small subunit ribosomal RNA", at positions 777 to 1336 of the family's 1533-position model. The record is from RNAcentral.